This 477-nucleotide ribosomal RNA is filed under the name Balechina pachydermata. Its description in RNAcentral is "SSU rRNA". It matches the Rfam family "Eukaryotic small subunit ribosomal RNA", at positions 532 to 1013 of the family's 1831-position model. Lineage: Eukaryota; Dinophyceae. The record is from RNAcentral.
CUUUUGCUAGUAUCAAUUGGAGGGCAAGUCUGGUGCCAGCAGCCGCGGUAAUUCCAGCUCCAAUAGCGUAUAUUAAAGUUGUUGCGGUUAAAAAGCUCGUAGUUGGAUUUCUGCCUAGGACCACCGGUCCGCCCUCUGGGUGACCCUCUGGCUCGGCCUGGGCAUCCUUUUGGAGAACGUAGCUGCACUUGACUGUGUGGUGCGGUAUCCAUGACUUUUACUUUGAGGAAAUUAGAGUGUUUCAAGCAGGCCCACGCCUUGUAUACAUUAGCAUGGAAUAAUAACAUAGGACCUCGGUUCUAUUUUGUUGGUUUCUAGAGCUGAGGUAAUGAUGAAUAGGGAUAGUUGGGGGCAUUCGUAUUUAACUGACAGAGGUGAAAUUCUUGGAUUUGUUAAAGACGGACUACUGCGAAAGCAUUUGCCAAGGAUGUUUUCAUUGAUCAAGAACGAAAGUUAGGGGAUCGAAGACGAUCAGAU